Molecule: unclassified non-coding RNA, 336 nt
Filed under: soil metagenome
Description: partial contains 5.8S ribosomal RNA, internal transcribed spacer 2, and large subunit ribosomal RNA
Rfam family: 5.8S ribosomal RNA (bases 1-120)
Source: RNAcentral
GAUGAAGAACGCAGCGAAAUGCGAUAAGUAAUGUGAAUUGCAGAAUUCAGUGAAUCAUCGAAUCUUUGAACGCACAUUGCGCCCGCCAGUAUUCUGGCGGGCAUGCCUGUUCGAGCGUCAUUUCAACCAUCAAGCCCCAGGCUUGUGUUGGGGACCUGCGGCUGCCGCAGGCCCUGAAAACCAGUGGCGGGCUCGCUGUCACACCGGGCGUAGUAGAUUUUAUCUCGCUCAGGGCGUGCUGCGGGUCCCGGCCGUUAAAUGCCUUUUUUUACCCAAGGUUGACCUCGGAUCAGGUAGGAAGACCCGCUGAACUUAAGCAUAUCAAUAAGCGGAGGA